CUCCUCACUUUCUACCUCACUCUCAUUUUCAUGUAACUCCUCACCCUCAAUGUCCUCUACAUCAUCAUCCUCUCCUAAAUCUUCUACCUCAAAAUCAUCAACCUCAUGCACCUCUGGUUCUUGUACAUGAUGGAGCUCACCUUGGACCUCAACCUGGACCUCACCCUGGACCUCACCAUCCUGAACCUCAUCCACAUCAGCAUCCUCAACCUAGACCUCAUCCUGGACCUCACCACCCUCAACUUGGACCUCAACACCCUCAACCUGGACCUCACCACCCUCUUGGCCAUCACCUUCAGUAUGCACCUCAACAUCCACACCAUAACCCUCUUCACCACCAACCCAAUCAAUGAAUUCUAUUAUUUGUGGUUCCACCAUAUUAUGAACCACAUACAAAUGGACUUCGUCAUUUAACCUAGCAAUGG
This 425-nucleotide long non-coding RNA is filed under the name Vigna radiata. RNAcentral's name for it is "long non-coding RNA (VRAD_LNC002853)". The record is from RNAcentral. Lineage: Eukaryota; Viridiplantae; Streptophyta; Magnoliopsida; Fabales; Fabaceae.